Molecule: non-coding RNA, 547 nt
Organism: Punica granatum (pomegranate)
Lineage: Eukaryota; Viridiplantae; Streptophyta; Magnoliopsida; Myrtales; Lythraceae
Source: RefSeq, a predicted model, not a curated record
CGGGCCCUUAGGCGGAAGUGGAUGCCAGCGGUUAUCUGCUGUAUGUUGGCGUACCCCAUCAUGUUCACCCCUUCUGCUGGCCCUGUCAUGUCGUAGCUCCCAACUCCGAUAAGGGAAAAGAAAGUAUUUAGUAUAGUACGGGGCACUUCGAGCGGUAUGCAAAUAUUUAUAUGGGUCAUAUAUGUUUUCUCCUUCGCAUGUUGUAAGAUGAUCUCACUGGGUUGGCCACUCUAUCCAUCUCCUCCCCACAAUUCGAAAACAAGAUGGGCAUACAUACAUUCAAGGACUCUUCUGGUUUGCUCUAUUGUGAUUUUUCUUCGAAAAGGCUAUCAAGACGACUAGAAUUGCAGGAAUUUAUGGACUCCUCAUCUUUACGGGCAUCUUCGUAUUAUAUCGACAGGAGGUCGAGACUAGAGUUUAAGUUCACUGCUCGCUGCUUUUAGCCUAGGUGUUUAUUGCCUAUUUAUCUCUAUUGUAGUUAAACUUGAAAUGUCCCUCCAAUAUUCUUGAUCCUGCAAUUUUUAUUGAGCGUUUAUAUUUUUCUGAA